AGUGGGGAAUAUUGCACAAUGGGCGCAAGCCUGAUGCAGCAACGCCGCGUGAGCGAUGAAGGCCUUCGGGUCGUAAAGCUCUGUCCUCAAGGAAGAAUAAAUGACGGUACUUGAGGAGGAAGCCCCGGCUAACUACGUGCCAGCAGCCGCGGUAAUACGUAGGGGGCAAGCGUUAUCCGGAAUCACUGGGCGUAAAGGGUGCGUAGGCGGUUUUUCAAGUCAGAAGUGAAAGGCUAUGGCUCAACCAUAGUAAGCUUUUGAAACUGUAAAACUUGAGUGCAGGAGAGGAAAGUGGAAUUCCUAGUGUAGAGGUGAAAUUCGUAGAUAUUAGGAGGAACACCAGUGGCGAAGGCGACUUUCUGGACUGUAACUGACGCUGAGGCACGAAAGCGUGGGGAGCGAA
RNAcentral lists this ribosomal RNA (403 nucleotides) under uncultured Fusibacter sp. RNAcentral's name for it is "bacterial SSU rRNA". It matches the Rfam family "Bacterial small subunit ribosomal RNA", at positions 353 to 772 of the family's 1533-position model. Lineage: Bacteria; Bacillati; Bacillota; Clostridia; Eubacteriales; Fusibacteraceae. The record is from RNAcentral.